This 376-nucleotide long non-coding RNA is filed under the name Astyanax mexicanus (Mexican tetra). RNAcentral's name for it is "lncRNA (ENSAMXG00005005055.1)". Lineage: Eukaryota; Metazoa; Chordata; Actinopteri; Characiformes; Acestrorhamphidae. The record is from RNAcentral.
UUUUAAAUGUUAUUUUUUUCUGUUUUAGAUGUUAUUUUGCUGUUAAAUGUUGUUUGUUUUUGUCGUUUACAGAAUAUAUUAACGGUGACGUUUGAAGCAGAGGGCAGCGUCUCUGAGGACAGUUUAAAUGUGUUUAUUCAGAAUCUUUUAUGGGAGAAGAUGUUUAAGAAUAAAGCGGGUUUAGCUAUGAACGUUAUUCGCUUAAAGGUGAGAAUUAUCUUUUUAUUAUUAAAGGAUUGACAACUAAAUUAUAGAAAUGUUUACAAUUUUAGAAUUAAUAUAAAUGACUUUGAUUAGGCAUCUCACUUAAAGCGUAUGUUAAUGUAUGUCAUGUUUUAUGUAUUAUUUAAAAUUAAUAAAAUGUUAUUAUUAUACA